Molecule: transfer RNA, 73 nt
Filed under: Qipengyuania vulgaris
Lineage: Bacteria; Pseudomonadati; Pseudomonadota; Alphaproteobacteria; Sphingomonadales; Erythrobacteraceae
Also listed under: 1 other name
Description: Erythrobacter vulgaris tRNA
Rfam family: tRNA
About the family: Transfer RNA (tRNA) molecules are approximately 80 nucleotides in length.
Source: Rfam by way of RNAcentral
GCCGGCUUAGCUCAGUUGGUAGAGCAGUUGAUUUGUAAUCAUCAGGCCAGGGGUUCGAAUCCUCUAGCCGGCA